Molecule: non-coding RNA, 26 nt
Filed under: Homo sapiens (human)
Lineage: Eukaryota; Metazoa; Chordata; Mammalia; Primates; Hominidae
Source: RNAcentral
UCAUCAGGUCAGACUCUCAGCACACA